This is a non-coding RNA of Oryza sativa Japonica Group (Japanese rice), 2808 nucleotides long. Lineage: Eukaryota; Viridiplantae; Streptophyta; Magnoliopsida; Poales; Poaceae. The record is from RefSeq and is a predicted model, not a curated record.
AUGCCUUAUCAAUUCUUUGGCAAUUUUCAACAAUGUUUCCUGAUGUUUGGAUUGGUACCCAUAUCUCUUAAUUAGUACAUACCAGACGCGGCCGGGCGCAGCUGGCACAGUGGCAGCGCAGGAGAGUCGAGGCGGCGGCAAGUGGCGACAGGGAGUUUGGUGGUGGCGAUGGAGAGGAGGCCGUGGUGCAGAGGAGGGGCGGCAGCGAAGGGCUCGGGACCGAGGUGGCUCGGUCGAGGCAACGAUGGUAGGAGGUGGUCGCGGAGGCGGUGCCCAUGCUGCCCGUCGGGAUGGGAGGAAGGUUGGUGAUGGGGAUGGGGAGCUCGGCGACGGCAGUGGCAUGGGGGUCGACAGCGAUGGGGAUGGAGAGGUGGCUGGUGGCAGGGAGAGGGGAAGAAUGACGAGGAUGUUGCUCCCGGCGACGGUUUUGCUUGGGCGAUGGCUUCCAGGAGAAGGAGAGGCCGGAGUAGCAUAGUGGCGACGACAGUGGCGGUGACACCAACACGAGAGGAGGGUCGUACAAGGUGAGUCUUCUCGCCGGUCUUCUAUUUUCGGUGUGGACUCGGUUUGCCGUGAGUGUGGUCUCUCUCUCUCACUACUUCGCCGGCUUUUGUGUGAGGGCUUUGGUUGACGGGGAGUAGUGGUGCACGAGCGGCGACUGUUGAUGGCGGUGUUGGAUGUGAUGGACGGCGGCGGUGGGGCUGGACGUCGACAGCGACGGAAGGCUUGCCGGAUAGAGAUGCCCCUCGGUAAUGAAGGGGAGAAAGGAGAUGCGGCGGCGACAGACUGUCGAUGACGGAGGCCGCAGCGGGACGGGGUGGUGGGAGGCCGGGAUUCGGGAUGUGGUGGAGACUGGCCAGGUGGUCGACGUUGAUCCGGCGGCAUAGGACUCGGUGGCGGCUCGUCCUCCACCGACACCCAGUCACCGUUGGGAUCAGUGGAGGGCGAGCCGGCGGCGGGGAUCGGUGGCAGAUCGGAUCACCACGGAAGGCGUCGGCGGCGACCUGGCCACGAGAGGACUUUGUGCGGCAGGGAUCGGUGGAGCAGAACAGCGUGGAAGGCGUCGGCGGCGACGUGAAUCCGGGCGGAGGACAAGCGAUGGGGAUCGGUGGAGGGCGAGCCGGCGGCGAUGGCAGAUCGGUGAGGCAGAGGACGGCGCCGCGGCUGAUAGGGAGGGGAGCGCUGAUGGCGGAGCGGUUUCCGGCGUCGCGCGUGCGGGAGCGGAAUCUGGGAGAGGCGCGGUGGGAGAGCGAGAGAGAGGGAGACGGGCCGUGCGGUGCCGAGGGAGGGGGCAUACGGCGAUUGAGGGAGGUGGGAGGUGGGAUCGAUCCGCAUCGUUGGGAUUUCACCGAGAUGAUCUGAACCGUUCCAUGAGGAAUGAAAGAAUGAGUGAUGGGUGAAAGUAUUUGUUGAACUAGGUAGAUAGAUAGAUUUAGAUGGGGGAAACAUCAUGUGUAUUUCUAUAUUUAUAUACUAAUAUAAAAAGGAGGAGUUGCCUCCUUGCAAUCCUGUAGGUGAAAUCAAAGAAAACCAGGGCCCACGCAUAGACACAUCGAAUCCCCAUCCCCAUCGCCACGGAUUCCUCUGCCGUCCUCACCCCACUCCCUCUAUCACCGCAUGUCGCUUCCCCCUCAAUCACUCUGACGAUAGCUUCCUCCUCCCCUUGAUCUCGCCCUCGAUGACGCGCCACCUACACACGAUUUCGCCUUCAACAAAUUCACUCGGCCUCUUCCUCCGCUCGAUCUCGCUUGCUGUCUCCUUCACCGCUACAAAGCCUUGUCGCCCGCCUCCAUCGUUCUCUUGUGUCGCCGUCACCAGCAAGACCUUGCACCGCCGCCGUUGUGACCCUCGAUCCACGCCGAGCUUCCGCCUCCAAGGCCACAGCGAUCUCUUCUUCAGUUCUCAACUUACUACCGGGUGAAAGAAGCGAUGUUGCUCUUUCUUUUCUGUAGAUUUGCCUCCUCUGUGUACUAGCCUCAUUCUCCUCAGGUUGCGUAGAGGAGUAAGGGAGAAAUUUCAGAACUAUGUACAAACAUACUCCAAUGAUUUUGCUACCAUAUACCUGUUCAACUAUUUACUAGCCAUCAUCCUUGUCAUAUGCACUAUAUGAGAAAUAAGAGUAUCCAACUCAUCUUCUGGUCAGUGUUCACACACACUUUUUGGUUUUAUUUUUUUACUUCUAUCUAUUCGUUUUUAAUAAUAUGUGUAUUAAAUACAUUUUUACUCAAAUAAAAUAAUUUUAGAACUUCAUUUCAUUAACAGAUCUAAUAUUUGUGUAUGAUGUUUGCAAGGACGAGAAACAAUAUUGAAGGAACUGCAAAUUACUCUCAGAUGAUCUUUACAAGAAUGGAUGAAAAUGAUCACUUAGUGUUGGGUUCCAACAGUAUGAUCCACUUAUACUCUGUAAUCAUGAUGCAUGUUUUCUGACAUGUAUGUCAAGUUUAUGCACUCCAAAUCCUGUCAGUGAACAUCUAGAGAAGCUAUUCAGUUUCAUUGACAAUAAAAAAGAGGUGGACCCGUCGUCAGACAAAUUACAGGGUCCAUUACUCUCCCCCAAUCUCCCCCCGCAACAUUUUCUGGUGGUGAUAUUCUGAGUUCAUGUUUAACCAACAAAUCAAGGCGCUUGCUUGGUCUAGAGUUCCACACCAAUGGUUAUAGUGGUUUUAGCGAUGACCAUGAAUAUUUAACUAUUGCCUAACCGGUAUACAGUCAGGGAGCCAUGUCUUAGAUCCAUAUGGUUAGCUCUUAUUCUACUGCUCACUUUGCUUCUUGCCAAAGUAGUUUAACGGUGUUUUGGUUUUAGCCCUC